RNAcentral lists this transfer RNA (84 nucleotides) under Planctomycetota bacterium. RNAcentral's name for it is "Planctomycetes bacterium (groundwater metagenome) tRNA-Leu". It matches the Rfam family "tRNA". From Rfam's summary of the family: Transfer RNA (tRNA) molecules are approximately 80 nucleotides in length. Their secondary structure includes four short double-helical elements and three loops (D, anti-codon, and T loops). RNAcentral also lists the same sequence under 1 other name. Lineage: Bacteria; Pseudomonadati; Planctomycetota. The record is from RNAcentral.
GCGGGAGUGGCGGAAUUGGCAGACGCGCUAGGUUGAGGGCCUAGUCCCAGCAAUGGGGUGCAGGUUCAAGUCCUGUUUCCCGCA